RNAcentral lists this long non-coding RNA (290 nucleotides) under Capsella rubella. RNAcentral describes it as "long non-coding RNA (CRUB_LNC003900)". Lineage: Eukaryota; Viridiplantae; Streptophyta; Magnoliopsida; Brassicales; Brassicaceae. The record is from RNAcentral.
ACUAGGUUCGGACCCGCGCUACAGCGCGGUGGAAAAUUACCGGGCUUUUAGUCAUUUGUACGUUGUGGGAUAAUUUAUUUAUGUUUAUUUUACUUUAUUUUGAUUAUUAAUUAAAUUCUAUCAUUUUAGAUUGUAUUUUUUUGUGUUGGUUUCGAAUAUGUUCAAAAUUAUUUAAAUUGUAUGAUUUUAGUUGGAUUGUUAAUUUUAGAACAAUAUGUGACAUAUAUACAUGUAUAAAUAUUAUACUAUGAAUCAUUUUUAAAAUUUAGGGAUUAACCCGCGGUACACCG